CCAAGGAAUAUGUGAUUGGGAGAAUGCGAUCUAAAGAAGUUAGAUUCAUGAGACCAUUCUUUCGUAGACACAACCUAAACGUUCCUGAUCAUAGGAUUGCCAAUUGGGCAUUGACAGUCCGUUAAGAUCAGUACGUGCUGUGUCUUCUCUCAGGGAGAGUGACUAAUCUCAAGUCAUUGGUGUGUGUGACAUCAAGACAAGUACGUAGGUGCUCAAUAGAGAAUGAGUUCACUGAACACGAUCAACGAAGAGUUCUCAUAUUCAUGUCACAUGAGAACUCAUGGUUGGGAUAAUGCAAAGUAGUCCUUUGACCUGAGGCAUCAUAGUUGUCUUGUAGUUAGGUACUUGAUCUUUGAUUAUGUCAAAGUCACCCCAUCCGCGGGUGUCCACGGCAUCGUCGGGGUUAAGCCACUUAGCCAUGGAGGCAAGUGAAUGCGCAACAAGGGAUCCCUAACCUUCAAACUGUUUUGGGGAGAAUACUCUAUGAUAUGAUUAAGAAUCUUUGGCCAGAGUAUGAAUGAGAUUUAGAAAGUCGUUCCAAAUCACAUUCAAGUUAAUCAUAUAAGCACACGAAUCACAUUGGAUGGUAGACAUGAAUAAACUAUCAAACCAAACAAUGUGGUCAAGAGUAUUGUAUUAGAGAAAGACCGUAUUGCAUUUGUAAUCCUAAACUGAAUAGGUUCUCCACCUCUUCUGAUUAGCUUGGGUAACCAUGAUAUGCUGUUAGGUGUCACUCAUGGUUUGUGGAAGCCCUAAACGUGUAUAAUCACUAAUGGGAGAAUUGAAAGUAAGUUUCAAUUCACAAUCGAUUUGAAAUGGUUUUAAUCGCCCACUGCCUCGCU
RNAcentral lists this long non-coding RNA (842 nucleotides) under Malus domestica (apple). Its description in RNAcentral is "long non-coding RNA (MDOM_LNC019724)". Lineage: Eukaryota; Viridiplantae; Streptophyta; Magnoliopsida; Rosales; Rosaceae. The record is from RNAcentral.